RNAcentral lists this ribosomal RNA (253 nucleotides) under uncultured bacterium. RNAcentral describes it as "partial 16S ribosomal RNA". It matches the Rfam family "Bacterial small subunit ribosomal RNA", at positions 524 to 776 of the family's 1533-position model. The record is from RNAcentral.
UACGUAGGGGGCAAGCGUUGUCCGGAAUCAUUGGGCGUAAAGAGCGCGUAGGCGGUCCGGUAAGUCAGCUGUGAAAGUCAGGGGCUCAACCCUUGAAAGCCGGUUGAUACUGUCGGGCUAGAGUCCGGAAGAGGCGAGUGGAAUUCCCGGUGUAGCGGUGAAAUGCGCAGAUAUCAGGAAGAACACCCGUGGCGAAGGCGGCUCUCUGGGACGGUACUGACGCUGAGACGCGAAAGCGUGGGGAGCGAACAGG